GACGCACGCUGGCGGCAGGCCUAACACAUGAAAGUCGAGCGGAGCGGCGGACGGGUGAGUAAUUCCUAGGAAUCUGCCUGGUAGUGGGGGAUAACGUCCGGAAACGGGAGCUAAUACCGCAUACUAUCAGAUGAGCCUAUUUCGGAUUAGCUAGUUGGUGGGGUAAAGGCCUACCAAGGGGACGAUACGUAACUGGUCUGAGAGGUGGAUCAGUCACACUGGAAGUGAGACACUGUCCAGACUCCUACGGGAGGCAGCAGGAGGGAAUAUUGGACAAUGGGCGAAAGCCUGAUCCAGCCAGGCCGCGUGUGUGAAGAAGGUCUUCGGAUUGUAAAGCACUUUAAGUUGGGAAGCGUUACCUACAUAAUAAGCACCGGCUAACUUCGUGCCAGCAGCCGCGGUAAUUC
Molecule: ribosomal RNA, 407 nt
Filed under: uncultured bacterium
Lineage: Bacteria
Description: partial 16S ribosomal RNA
Rfam family: Bacterial small subunit ribosomal RNA
Source: RNAcentral